GGAUGUGAGGGCGAUCUGGCUAAGUUAUCCGUCACCCCAUUGACAGGGUUGAUUGGGCUGAUCUGGCUGGCAAGGUGGGUGUCUCCUUCCUCCCUCACCACUCCAUGUGCAUCCCUCCUGAAGCUGCACACUUGGUGGAAGAGGACAACCUUCCCCGAAUAGAGAAGGACCGGUCUUAGGUCAAGGGUAUACGAGUAGCUGCGCUCCCCUACUAGAAACUCCAAACAAGCUCUGAAGAAGUGAUUGGGAAAUAGGGUGGAAGAAACAAAAGCAGUGUCAGUAUAUGUUGUACCGAGCACU
This is an unclassified non-coding RNA of Cricetulus griseus (Chinese hamster), 300 nucleotides long. Its record names the gene 7SK. It matches the Rfam family "7SK RNA". From Rfam's summary of the family: 7SK was discovered as an abundant small nuclear RNA in the mid-70s but a possible function has only recently been suggested. Lineage: Eukaryota; Metazoa; Chordata; Mammalia; Rodentia; Cricetidae. The record is from Ensembl.